This is an unclassified non-coding RNA of Macaca fascicularis (crab-eating macaque), 148 nucleotides long. It matches the Rfam family "Metazoan signal recognition particle RNA". From Rfam's summary of the family: The signal recognition particle (SRP) is a universally conserved ribonucleoprotein. It is involved in the co-translational targeting of proteins to membranes. The record is from Ensembl. NCBI's taxonomy places the organism in Eukaryota, Metazoa, Chordata, Mammalia, Primates, Cercopithecidae.
GCCGGGUGUGGUAGUGCACACCUGUAAUCCCAGCUACUUGGGAGGCUGAGGUAUGAGAAUCACUUGAACCUAGGAGGUGGAGUUUGCAUUGAGCUGAGAUCGUGCCAAUGUACUCCAGCCUGGGUGACACAGUGAGACUCUGUCUCAA